GGGUCAGUAGGUUGGUCGUGCCACCGGUACGUACUGGUCUCACUGAUUCCUCCUUCCUGAAGAACCGUAAUGCCAUUAAUUUGGUGUUGCGGGGAAACAGGACUGUUACUUUGAAAAAAAUUAGAGUGUUUAAAGCAAGCUAACGCUUGAAUACAUUAGCAUGGAAUAAUGAAAUAGGACGAUCGAUCCUAUUUUGUUGGUUUCUAAGAUUGACGUA
RNAcentral lists this ribosomal RNA (217 nucleotides) under Glomeromycotina sp. Its description in RNAcentral is "partial small subunit ribosomal RNA". The stretch from base 40 to 217 matches the Rfam family "Eukaryotic small subunit ribosomal RNA", at positions 686 to 864 of the family's 1831-position model. The record is from RNAcentral. Lineage: Eukaryota; Fungi; Glomeromycota.